RNAcentral lists this unclassified non-coding RNA (329 nucleotides) under soil metagenome. RNAcentral describes it as "partial contains 5.8S ribosomal RNA, internal transcribed spacer 2, and large subunit ribosomal RNA". The stretch from base 1 to 120 matches the Rfam family "5.8S ribosomal RNA", at positions 35 to 154 of the family's 154-position model. The record is from RNAcentral.
GAUGAAGAACGCAGCGAAAUGCGAUAAGUAAUGUGAAUUGCAGAAUUCAGUGAAUCAUCGAAUCUUUGAACGCACAUUGCGCCCCCUGGUAUUCCGGGGGGCAUGCCUGUCCGAGCGUCAUUACAACCCUCAAGCUCAGCUUGGUGUUGGGCCCCGCCGCCCCGGCGGGCCCUAAAGUCAGUGGCGGUGCCGUCCGGCUCCGAGCGUAGUAAUUCUUCUCGCUCUGGAGGUCCGGUCGUGUGCUCGCCAGCAACCCCCAAUUUUUUUCAGGUUGACCUCGGAUCAGGUAGGGAUACCCGCUGAACUUAAGCAUAUCAAUAAGCGGAGUA